RNAcentral lists this ribosomal RNA (497 nucleotides) under uncultured bacterium. Its description in RNAcentral is "partial 16S ribosomal RNA". It matches the Rfam family "Bacterial small subunit ribosomal RNA", at positions 28 to 507 of the family's 1533-position model. The record is from RNAcentral.
GAUGAACGCUGGCGGCGUGCCUAAUACAUGCAAGUCGAGCGAACGGACGAGAAGCUUGCUUCUCUGAUGUUAGCGGCGGACGGGUGAGUAACACGUGUAUAACCUACCUAUAAGACUGGGAUAACUUCGGGAAACCGGAGCUAAUACCGGAUAAUAUUUUGAACCGCAUGGUUCAAAAGUAAAAGACGGUCUUGCUGUCACUUAUAGAUGGAUCCGCGCUGCAUUAGCUAGUUGGUAAGGUAACGGCUUACCAAGGCAACGAUGCAUAGCCGACCUGAGAGGGUGAUCGGCCACACUGGAACUGAGACACGGUCCAGACUCCUACGGGAGGCAGCAGUAGGGAAUCUUCCGCAAUGGGCGAAAGCCUGACGGAGCAACGCCGCGUGAGUGAUGAAGGUCUUCGGAGCGUAAAACUCUGUUAUGAGGGAAGAACAGAUGUGUAAGUAACUGUGCACAUCUUGACGGUACCGAAUAAGAAAGCCACGGCUAACUACGUG